RNAcentral lists this ribosomal RNA (2900 nucleotides) under Klebsiella pneumoniae subsp. pneumoniae WGLW3. Its description in RNAcentral is "bacterial LSU rRNA". It matches the Rfam family "Bacterial large subunit ribosomal RNA". Lineage: Bacteria; Pseudomonadati; Pseudomonadota; Gammaproteobacteria; Enterobacterales; Enterobacteriaceae. The record is from RNAcentral.
UUAAGCGACUAAGCGUACACGGUGGAUGCCCUGGCAGUCAGAGGCGAUGAAGGACGUGCUAAUCUGCGAAAAGCGUCGGUAAGGUGAUAUGAACCGUUAUAACCGGCGAUGUCCGAAUGGGGAAACCCAGUGUGAUUCGUCACACUAUCGUUAACUGAAUACAUAGGUUAACGAGGCGAACCGGGGGAACUGAAACAUCUAAGUACCCCGAGGAAAAGAAAUCAACCGAGAUUCCCCCAGUAGCGGCGAGCGAACGGGGAGCAGCCCAGAGUCUGAAUCAGCUUGUGUGUUAGUGGAACGGUCUGGAAAGUCCGACGGUACAGGGUGAUAGUCCCGUACACCAAAAUGCACAGGCUGUGAACUCGAAGAGUAGGGCGGGACACGUGGUAUCCUGUCUGAAUAUGGGGGGACCAUCCUCCAAGGCUAAAUACUCCUGACUGACCGAUAGUGAACCAGUACCGUGAGGGAAAGGCGAAAAGAACCCCGGCGAGGGGAGUGAAAAAGAACCUGAAACCGUGUACGUACAAGCAGUGGGAGCACCUUCGGGUGUGACUGCGUACCUUUUGUAUAAUGGGUCAGCGACUUAUAUUCUGUAGCAAGGUUAACCGUAUAGGGGAGCCGCAGGGAAACCGAGUCUUAACUGGGCGUUAAGUUGCAGGGUAUAGACCCGAAACCCGGUGAUCUAGCCAUGGGCAGGUUGAAGGUUGGGUAACACUAACUGGAGGACCGAACCGACUAAUGUUGAAAAAUUAGCGGAUGACUUGUGGCUGGGGGUGAAAGGCCAAUCAAACCGGGAGAUAGCUGGUUCUCCCCGAAAGCUAUUUAGGUAGCGCCUCGUGAACUCAUCUUCGGGGGUAGAGCACUGUUUCGGCUAGGGGGUCAUCCCGACUUACCAACCCGAUGCAAACUACGAAUACCGAAGAAUGUUAUCACGGGAGACACACGGCGGGUGCUAACGUCCGUCGUGAAGAGGGAAACAACCCAGACCGCCAGCUAAGGUCCCAAAGUCAUGGUUAAGUGGGAAACGAUGUGGGAAGGCACAGACAGCCAGGAUGUUGGCUUAGAAGCAGCCAUCAUUUAAAGAAAGCGUAAUAGCUCACUGGUCGAGUCGGCCUGCGCGGAAGAUGUAACGGGGCUAAACCAUGCACCGAAGCUGCGGCAGCGACACUAUGUGUUGUUGGGUAGGGGAGCGUUCUGUAAGCCUGCGAAGGUGACCUGUGAGGGUUGCUGGAGGUAUCAGAAGUGCGAAUGCUGACAUAAGUAACGAUAAAGCGGGUGAAAAGCCCGCUCGCCGGAAGACCAAGGGUUCCUGUCCAACGUUAAUCGGGGCAGGGUGAGUCGACCCCUAAGGCGAGGCCGAAAGGCGUAGUCGAUGGGAAACAGGUUAAUAUUCCUGUACUUGGUGUUACUGCGAAGGGGGGACGGAGAAGGCUAUGUUAGCCGGGCGACGGUUGUCCCGGUUUAAGCAUGUAGGCUGGUUGUCCAGGCAAAUCCGGAUAAUCAAGGCUGAGGUGUGAUGACGAGGCACUACGGUGCUGAAGUAACAAAUGCCCUGCUUCCAGGAAAAGCCUCUAAGCAUCAGGUAACAUUAAAUCGUACCCCAAACCGACACAGGUGGUCAGGUAGAGAAUACCAAGGCGCUUGAGAGAACUCGGGUGAAGGAACUAGGCAAAAUGGUGCCGUAACUUCGGGAGAAGGCACGCUGGUGUGUAGGUGAAGUCCCUGCGGAUGGAGCUGAGACCAGUCGAAGAUACCAGCUGGCUGCAACUGUUUAUUAAAAACACAGCACUGUGCAAACACGAAAGUGGACGUAUACGGUGUGACGCCUGCCCGGUGCCGGAAGGUUAAUUGAUGGGGUUAUCCGUAAGGAGAAGCUCUUGAUCGAAGCCCCGGUAAACGGCGGCCGUAACUAUAACGGUCCUAAGGUAGCGAAAUUCCUUGUCGGGUAAGUUCCGACCUGCACGAAUGGCGUAAUGAUGGCCAGGCUGUCUCCACCCGAGACUCAGUGAAAUUGAACUCGCUGUGAAGAUGCAGUGUACCCGCGGCAAGACGGAAAGACCCCGUGAACCUUUACUAUAGCUUGACACUGAACAUUGAGCCUUGAUGUGUAGGAUAGGUGGGAGGCUUUGAAGCGUGGACGCCAGUCUGCGUGGAGCCAACCUUGAAAUACCACCCUUUAAUGUUUGAUGUUCUAACGUUGGCCCCUGACCGGGGUUGCGGACAGUGUCUGGUGGGUAGUUUGACUGGGGCGGUCUCCUCCCAAAGCGUAACGGAGGAGCACGAAGGUUAGCUAAUCCUGGUCGGACAUCAGGAGGUUAGUGCAAUGGCAUAAGCUAGCUUGACUGCGAGCGUGACGGCGCGAGCAGGUGCGAAAGCAGGUCAUAGUGAUCCGGUGGUUCUGAAUGGAAGGGCCAUCGCUCAACGGAUAAAAGGUACUCCGGGGAUAACAGGCUGAUACCGCCCAAGAGUUCAUAUCGACGGCGGUGUUUGGCACCUCGAUGUCGGCUCAUCACAUCCUGGGGCUGAAGUAGGUCCCAAGGGUAUGGCUGUUCGCCAUUUAAAGUGGUACGCGAGCUGGGUUUAGAACGUCGUGAGACAGUUCGGUCCCUAUCUGCCGUGGGCGCUGGAGAAUUGAGGGGGGCUGCUCCUAGUACGAGAGGACCGGAGUGGACGCAUCACUGGUGUUCGGGUUGUCAUGCCAAUGGCACUGCCCGGUAGCUAAAUGCGGAAGAGAUAAGUGCUGAAAGCAUCUAAGCACGAAACUUGCCCCGAGAUGAGUUCUCCCUGAGACUAUAAGUCUCCUGAAGGAACGUUAAAGACGAUGACGUUGAUAGGCCGGGUGUGUAAGCGCAGCGAUGCGUUGAGCUAACCGGUACUAAUGAACCGUGAGGCUUAACCUU